AGAGUUUGAUCCUGGCUCAGAUUGAACGCUGGCGGCAGGCUUAACACAUGCAAGUCGAACGGUAACAGGAAGGAAGCUUGCUUUCUUUGCUGACGAGUGGCGGACGGGUGAGUAAUGCUUGGGAAUCUGGCUUAUGGAGGGGGAUAACUACGGGAAACUGUAGCUAAUACCGCGUAAUAUCUUCGGAUUAAAGGGUGGGACCGUAAGGCCACCUGCCAUAAGAUGAGCCCAAGUGGGAUUAGGUAGUUGGUGGGGUAAAGGCCUACCAAGCCGACGAUCUCUAGCUGGUCUGAGAGGAUGACCAGCCACACUGGAACUGAGACACGGUCCAGACUCCUACGGGAGGCAGCAGUGGGGAAUAUUGCACAAUGGGGGGAACCCUGAUGCAGCCAUGCCGCGUGAAUGAAGAAGGCCUUCGGGUUGUAAAGUUCUUUCGGUGACGAGGAAGGCAGGUAAGUUAAUAGCUUACUUGAUUGACGUUAGUCACAGAAGAAGCACCGGCUAACUCCGUGCCAGCAGCCGCGGUAAUACGGAGGGUGCGAGCGUUAAUCGGAAUGACUGGGCGUAAAGGGCACGCAGGCGGUGACUUAAGUGAGAUGUGAAAGCCCCGGGCUUAACCUGGGAAUUGCAUUUCAUACUGGGUCGCUAGAGUAUUUUAGGGAGGGGUAGAAUUCCACGUGUAGCGGUGAAAUGCGUAGAGAUGUGGAGGAAUACCGAAGGCGAAGGCAGCCCCUUGGGAAUAUACUGACGCUCAUGUGCGAAAGCGUGGGGAGCAAACAGGAUUAGAUACCCUGGUAGUCCACGCUGUAAACGCUGUCGAUUUGGGGAUUGGGCUUUGAGCUUGGUGCCCGUAGCU
RNAcentral lists this ribosomal RNA (856 nucleotides) under uncultured bacterium. RNAcentral's name for it is "bacterial SSU rRNA". It matches the Rfam family "Bacterial small subunit ribosomal RNA", at positions 8 to 853 of the family's 1533-position model. The record is from RNAcentral.